RNAcentral lists this ribosomal RNA (1976 nucleotides) under Escherichia coli. RNAcentral describes it as "partial 23S ribosomal RNA". It matches the Rfam family "Bacterial large subunit ribosomal RNA", at positions 971 to 2925 of the family's 2925-position model. Lineage: Bacteria; Pseudomonadati; Pseudomonadota; Gammaproteobacteria; Enterobacterales; Enterobacteriaceae. The record is from RNAcentral.
GUUAUCACGGGAGACACACGGCGGGUGCUAACGUCCGUCGUGAAGAGGGAAACAACCCAGACCGCCAGCUAAGGUCCCAAAGUCAUGGUUAAGUGGGAAACGAUGUGGGAAGGCCCAGACAGCCAGGAUGUUGGCUUAGAAGCAGCCAUCAUUUAAAGAAAGCGUAAUAGCUCACUGGUCGAGUCGGCCUGCGCGGAAGAUGUAACGGGGCUAAACCAUGCACCGAAGCUGCGGCAGCGACACUAUGUGUUGUUGGGUAGGGGAGCGUUCUGUAAGCCUGUGAAGGUGGCCUGUGAGGGUUGCUGGAGGUAUCAGAAGUGCGAAUGCUGACAUAAGUAACGAUAAAGCGGGUGAAAAGCCCGCUCGCCGGAAGACCAAGGGUUCCUGUCCAACGUUAAUCGGGGCAGGGUGAGUCGACCCCUAAGGCGAGGCCGAAAGGCGUAGUCGAUGGGAAACAGGUUAAUAUUCCUGUACUUGGUGUUACUGCGAAGGGGGGACGGAGAAGGCUAUGUUGGCCGGGCGACGGUUGUCCCGGUUUAAGCGUGUAGGCUGGUUUUCCAGGCAAAUCCGGAAAACCAAGGCUGAGGCGUGAUGACGAGGCACUACGGUGCUGAAGCGACAAAUGCCCUGCUUCCAGGAAAAGCCUCUAAGCAUCAGGUAACAUCAAAUCGUACCCCAAACCGACACAGGUGGUCAGGUAGAGAAUACCAAGGCGCUUGAGAGAACUCGGGUGAAGGAACUAGGCAAAAUGGUGCCGUAACUUCGGGAGAAGGCACGCUGAUAUGUAGGUGAAGCGACUUGCUCGUGGAGCUGAAAUCAGUCGAAGAUACCAGCUGGCUGCAACUGUUUAUUAAAAACACAGCACUGUGCAAACACGAAAGUGGACGUAUACGGUGUGACGCCUGCCCGGUGCCGGAAGGUUAAUUGAUGGGGUUAGCGGCAACGCGAAGCUCUUGAUCGAAGCCCCGGUAAACGGCGGCCGUAACUAUAACGGUCCUAAGGUAGCGAAAUUCCUUGUCGGGUAAGUUCCGACCUGCACGAAUGGCGUAAUGAUGGCCAGGCUGUCUCCACCCGAGACUCAGUGAAAUUGAACUCGCUGUGAAGAUGCAGUGUACCCGCGGCAAGACGGAAAGACCCCGUGAACCUUUACUAUAGCUUGACACUGAACAUUGAGCCUUGAUGUGUAGGAUAGGUGGGAGGCUUUGAAGUGUGGACGCCAGUCUGCAUGGAGCCGACCUUGAAAUACCACCCUUUAAUGUUUGAUGUUCUAACGUUGGCCCGUAAUCCGGGUUGCGGACAGUGUCUGGUGGGUAGUUUGACUGGGGCGGUCUCCUCCUAAAGAGUAACGGAGGAGCACGAAGGUUGGCUAAUCCUGGUCGGACAUCAGGAGGUUAGUGCAAUGGCAUAAGCCAGCUUGACUGCGAGCGUGACGGCGCGAGCAGGUGCGAAAGCAGGUCAUAGUGAUCCGGUGGUUCUGAAUGGAAGGGCCAUCGCUCAACGGAUAAAAGGUACUCCGGGGAUAACAGGCUGAUACCGCCCAAGAGUUCAUAUCGACGGCGGUGUUUGGCACCUCGAUGUCGGCUCAUCACAUCCUGGGGCUGAAGUAGGUCCCAAGGGUAUGGCUGUUCGCCAUUUAAAGUGGUACGCGAGCUGGGUUUAGAACGUCGUGAGACAGUUCGGUCCCUAUCUGCCGUGGGCGCUGGAGAACUGAGGGGGGCUGCUCCUAGUACGAGAGGACCGGAGUGGACGCAUCACUGGUGUUCGGGUUGUCAUGCCAAUGGCACUGCCCGGUAGCUAAAUGCGGAAGAGAUAAGUGCUGAAAGCAUCUAAGCACGAAACUUGCCCCGAGAUGAGUUCUCCCUGACUCCUUGAGAGUCCUGAAGGAACGUUGAAGACGACGACGUUGAUAGGCCGGGUGUGUAAGCGCAGCGAUGCGUUGAGCUAACCGGUACUAAUGAACCGUGAGGCUUAACCUU